RNAcentral lists this long non-coding RNA (1024 nucleotides) under Olea europaea subsp. europaea. Lineage: Eukaryota; Viridiplantae; Streptophyta; Magnoliopsida; Lamiales; Oleaceae. The record is from RNAcentral.
GAAUUGUUUCCUAAAUUCAUUAGAAAUAAACCCACGUUUAACUGGCCAGAAUUGUUUUCCUAAUUCUCUUCCUUGCCUCCAAAACCUUUUCCCCAAAUAAUUCCCUCCUCACUUUGCCACUUUAGUUUAAUCGGCCAAACCUAAUUCCAAUUCUCCCACCCUCCAAAUUUCUUGUGUGUGAUAUCAUUCUUUCUCCUGGAUUUUGCAAGAAAUUUUAUUCAGCUCGUCAAAUUGCCACGAUUGGCUGCAGUCGAUUUUGUAGUCGAUUUUGCGAGAGGGAAUUAUUCAGCCACGAUUGGCUGUGAUAUAAUUCUUUCUCCUGGACAUAAUAUUCAUCUUGGGUCAAAAAAAUUUCGGCUGAAUCGACUACACAUUUUGAGCUCUUCAAGUUGUCUUCAAGGUAUGCCAAUAAUCCUACUAUUAAUUUGUAAAUUGUCUGGAAAAUAUAAGUACAUAAUCUUGAAUUUUGAGAUUACGUUUUCAAUUUCUUGCUAUGGAAAUACAAAUAAAUAUGGAGGCUGUUCUUCUGUAUUAAUUUUGAAAUUACAUUUUGAGAUUUGGCAUAUUUGAAGUUGUCCUUUUUGGUUGGUUGUUGCGCUAAGAUAGAGUGGGAUUUUAUCCCCAAUUUUAGGGAGAUCACGGGACUAGGAAAUAAAGGGGAAGUGGCUAGAAGAGGGGUAAUGGAAUCUGCCGUAGCUACUGGUGUUUGAUAACUGUGCUAUACAGAACACAAGCUUUCCCAUUGGUUCAAUCAAAAACUAAGCACUUCUAAUGGAUUUUGUUAUACACGUGAUUAUUUUAAUCAAAGGAUGUCAGAAUUUGCCAUAGAUUAAGGGGUAAUGGAAUUUUUUUCAAGGCAUGGGGAUAACAUAACAUGGGAAUAUAUGAUUUUUCUUUGGUGGAGUGCAGUGCAAUUUGCUUGCUUUGUGACUUUUGGCAUUAUUUUUGAGAUUUUAAUUCAUUUUUUCGAUUUUUCGAAGAAGAUGGUUUUUCUGAAUUAGAAUGUGUAUACUAUAAUCAAGAA